UACGGAGGAUCCGAGCGUUAUCCGGAUUUAUUGGGUUUAAAGGGAGCGUAGGCGGGUUGUUAAGUCAGUUGUGAAAGUUUGCGGCUCAACCGUAAAAUUGCAGUUGAUACUGGCAUCCUUGAGUACAGUAGAGGUAGGCGGAAUUCGUGGUGUAGCGGUGAAAUGCGUAGAUAUUAGGAGGAACACCAGUGGCGAAGGCGGCCUGCUGGACGGUGACUGACGCUGAGGCUCGAAAGCGUGGGGAGCAAACAGG
This 253-nucleotide ribosomal RNA is filed under the name uncultured Bacteroides sp. RNAcentral describes it as "partial 16S ribosomal RNA". It matches the Rfam family "Bacterial small subunit ribosomal RNA", at positions 524 to 776 of the family's 1533-position model. Lineage: Bacteria; Pseudomonadati; Bacteroidota; Bacteroidia; Bacteroidales; Bacteroidaceae. The record is from RNAcentral.